Long non-coding RNA from Rhopalosiphum maidis (corn leaf aphid), 181 nucleotides. RefSeq lists it as uncharacterized. The transcript is spliced from 3 exons. Lineage: Eukaryota; Metazoa; Arthropoda; Insecta; Hemiptera; Aphididae. The record is from RefSeq and is a predicted model, not a curated record.
CACGCCCACCUGAACUCCGAGACAGCUCCACAUUUUGGUAAACUUAUUGUUCCGAACGAAGAUAAUAUCAUAUCUACGAUUAUACCGAAUUUCAAAUUUACAUACGGACGUUAAACUACAAGUCAAAAUGUUUAUGAAUCAAAUUUCAGUUUUUGAAUUCGACCAAAUUACAGCUUUUGGA